RNAcentral lists this ribosomal RNA (675 nucleotides) under Bacillus subtilis. RNAcentral's name for it is "bacterial SSU rRNA". It matches the Rfam family "Bacterial small subunit ribosomal RNA", at positions 571 to 1245 of the family's 1533-position model. Lineage: Bacteria; Bacillati; Bacillota; Bacilli; Caryophanales; Bacillaceae. The record is from RNAcentral.
GCAGGCGGUUUUCUUAAGUCUGAUGUGAAAGCCCCCGGCUCAACCGGGGAGGGUCAUUGGAAACUGGGGAACUUGAGUGCAGAAGAGGAGAGUGGAAUUCCACGUGUAGCGGUGAAAUGCGUAGAGAUGUGGAGGAACACCAGUGGCGAAGGCGACUCUCUGGUCUGUAACUGACGCUGAGGAGCGAAAGCGUGGGGAGCGAACAGGAUUAGAUACCCUGGUAGUCCACGCCGUAAACGAUGAGUGCUAAGUGUUAGGGGGUUUCCGCCCCUUAGUGCUGCAGCUAACGCAUUAAGCACUCCGCCUGGGGAGUACGGUCGCAAGACUGAAACUCAAAGGAAUUGACGGGGGCCCGCACAAGCGGUGGAGCAUGUGGUUUAAUUCGAAGCAACGCGAAGAACCUUACCAGGUCUUGACAUCCUCUGACAAUCCUAGAGAUAGGACGUCCCCUUCGGGGGCAGAGUGACAGGUGGUGCAUGGUUGUCGUCAGCUCGUGUCGUGAGAUGUUGGGUUAAGUCCCGCAACGAGCGCAACCCUUGAUCUUAGUUGCCAGCAUUCAGUUGGGCACUCUAAGGUGACUGCCGGUGACAAACCGGAGGAAGGUGGGGAUGACGUCUAAUCAUCAUGCCCCUUAUGACCUGUGCUACACACGUGCUACAAUGGACAGAACAAAGG